CCUAGAAACGCAUGCAAUAAGACAUUUCAUAUACAAGUGAUCAAUUAGAUUAUAUUAGAUAAAAAUAAGGCAAUUUGCAAAGUCAAGCUAUUUAGUCAUAACCAGGAUUAAUUGUCUUUCGUGAGGUGCUAACAUCGAAAUUUAAAAAUUUUCAAUUCAGUUCGUUCAGAAAAGUUCGUUUUGUUAGCAGAGAAAAAGGAGUUCAGCUGCUUCAGCGCAUUUAACUAUUCGAAUUAGUCCGAUUUCGCUUGGAUUGCUUUUAUUGUAAAUUUUGCAAAAUGGUCGCUUCAUUAAAUGCUUGCCAGAACGGCAUAGUAAGUUCCGCAGCCGGGGGCGCCGCUAAUGGAGUAAUCACCAAUGGCACAGUCAAUGCAACCAAUGUGAGCAAGACUUUGGCUAAAGGCAAGUACACUUUGGUAGGAAUCGAUAUUGACACAACGGGACGUCGUCUCAUCGAUGAAAUUGUCCAGUUGGCCGCAUAUACCCCAAAAGAUCAUUUUGAACAAUAUAUUAUGCCAUACAUGAACUUGAAUCCUGCCGCUCGUCAACGUCAUCAAGUACGUGUGAUCUCAAUUGGGUUCUAUCGUAUGCUGAAAUCAAUGCAAACAUAUAAGAUUAUCAAGUCCAAAUCGGAAAUCGCUGCCUUGAAAGAUUUUCUUGAUUGGCUGGAAGCGCUUAAAGCCAAAGAUGCAACAUCGCAAGGUAUCAUUCUAGUCUAUCAUGAGGAACGCAAAUUCAUUCCAUAUAUGAUUUUGGAGUCGCUUAAAAAGUACAAUCUGCUGGAUAGAUUCCUCAACACUGUCAAAUCUUUCGCUAACGGUUUUAAUUUGGCCAAAGACAAUGCCAACGAAUCAUUGCAACACUAUACAUUGCGCAAACUGUCCAAAGUCCUGAGCGCCAAAACACUCGAGAUCAACAAUAAUGCUUCCGAUGGCGGAGCAAACCAGAAUAUAAGCUCAACGACUGUGACAGCCGAGAGCCAGAGCCCUCAAAAGUCGUUAAAUAAGGGCGCUCCAGCACAGGAGCGUGAGUUGUUUGACGGCAAUGCUAGUGUGCGUGCUAAACUGGCAUAUGAAGUAGCACUACAGUUAAGCAAUCAAGAACAAAAGGUGCCCAUUGAUUCGCCUGCUGCAUUGGAGCAGAUGCUCACCGCCUUGCAAGCGUAUGCACAACCCAUCGAAUGCGAUUUGAAUGAACUACAGACUCAAAAUGAGAAUUUAGAGCGUCAAAAUUCAUUCCGACCGGUGUUUUUGAACUAUUUCAAAACAACACUCUACCAUCGGGUGCGUGCUGUCAAAUUUCGCAUUAUACUUGCCGAACAGCGCUAUGACCUGCAAACACUAAAUGCAAUUUGGAGUGAGAAACAGAAAGAGGGUAUCUCCGAAAUACUGCAAGUCAUUGAGGAGCUUAAGGCAGAAGAUAAGGCGGAGUUGGCCGAUUUAUUUGACAGUUACUUCGAUCCAGCAAAAACGACUAUUAAGCCGAUUGUUAAGAACAAUAAUCGUCGCCGAAAUAGACGCGGAGUACGCAACAUUAAAAACGACGGUGGCAAUAGUGCUCGACCAUGUAGCGAACAAGGCGCAGGCGGCGACAAACAAGUCGCAGCCGGGUUGCUUCCCGAUUCCACAACUAAGUCUUCAUCUCCGCCUAACGGUGGCAAGCCUCAGCGCGGUAAGCGUAACCCCCGCUCCCGUAAUAACUCCUUAAAAGCACAGCUACAAAGCGCCGUCGACACAAUCAACAUAACGGCAGCAGUAACCAAUUAAGCAUCAAUGUUGAUAGAAAUGAGUUCUACACAGACGCUGUUGCAACAAAAAAUUUUCGCUCAAAUUUAAUACAAAAUAAGCUUCAUUUGCAACAAAGAUUUGACUGGUGCAUUGCAGUUUGUGUUAAAUUAAAAACAUAUCAACUUACUAAAUAUAAUCGAGGAGUUACGUGGAAGUAAAUAGAAGAGAGUGGGUUCCGUAAACUCCUUGCUCAAAAUUUCUGUGAAUAAAAAAUUUAAAAUGUGCGUUUAGGUUAAUCACCAAAUUUUUACGAAAAAUGAAAUGAAAGAAGCUCGACUUUUGAAAUGCAGCAACAUCUCAAAUGUAUAUAUAUUGAGUUUGUGAGAUUUUGCGAAAAGUCAAAGAAAGGAGACUCAAUAUUCAUUCUUAUAUAUAUUGAGUUCGUGAGAUUUAUGCUUUCAAUGCCAGUGAACAGGAUAGAUAUGCCGCAGCAAUGCAUGUGAAAUUAUUGAAAUAAAUAUUGAAUUUAUAUACAUACAUAUAUAUGAGAUCAUCCAAAGAAACGUGAUCAAAUCGAAGUAAGUUAAGAGCAACCAUUUGGUCGCGCUUUGAAGUCAACAUAUACCGUCUAAUCAAAUUGGGAUUCGCAACAAGCAGUUGCCUAUCAUCUAUGCUUGCUGAGUAUCGUUUAGCCACCAGCUGUGGAGAUGGGAGAAUAUUUUCGUUUUUAGUUUAAUGCAGACCUCAUUUAGUUGAAAAACGCGAGGAACCAAAAAUACGACUGAUAUAUUGUUAAAACAUAUAGCAUAUAUUAUUGAGAACAAUAAUGGGUAGUUACCAUAUAAUUGUUACUUUUACGCUUACAACAUUGUUCGAAAAUCAAGGGAUCUUGAAGCUGAUUCUUAAAAGACCUGCUCAAAUGCUUCAGUAGAACCAUAUCGGCACGCGCCUGAUUUCAUUUACAUUUUACUUCAAAUGAGCUUCAUGCACAAAAAUGAAAAAAAAAAUAAAA
This 2739-nucleotide unclassified non-coding RNA is filed under the name Bactrocera latifrons. RNAcentral's name for it is "maternal protein exuperantia, transcript variant X3". Lineage: Eukaryota; Metazoa; Arthropoda; Insecta; Diptera; Tephritidae. The record is from RNAcentral.